CCUACGGGGGGCAGCAGUGGGGAAUAUUGCACAAUGGGGGAAACCCUGAUGCAGCGACGCCGCGUGAGCGAGGAAGUACCUCGGUAUGUAAAGCUCUGUCAGCAGGGAAGAAAAUGACAGUACCUGACCAAGAAGCCCCGGCUAACUACGUGCCAGCAGCCGCGGUAAUACGUAGGGGGCAAGCGUUAUCCGGAUUCACUGGGCGUAAAGGGAGCGUAGACGGCAGAGAAAGUCUGAAGUGAAAGCCCGCGGCUCAACCGCGGAACUGCUUUGGAAACUUUUCGGCUAGAGUACCGGAGAGGUAA
Molecule: ribosomal RNA, 305 nt
Filed under: uncultured bacterium
Lineage: Bacteria
Description: bacterial SSU rRNA
Rfam family: Bacterial small subunit ribosomal RNA
Source: RNAcentral